RNAcentral lists this long non-coding RNA (292 nucleotides) under Oryza brachyantha (malo sina). RNAcentral describes it as "long non-coding RNA (OBRA_LNC003275)". The record is from RNAcentral. Lineage: Eukaryota; Viridiplantae; Streptophyta; Magnoliopsida; Poales; Poaceae.
AACGAUGUUUAUCACACCCACAGGAGAGAAGACCCACCUAAGCUUCCAAUAUCAUCCAACCAUAUAUAAAUAGAAAACAUCUCCAAAACUCUAGUCUCUAACGUGAUACAUUGCAAAAUUAAAAAUAAAAUCAUUUUCACACCUUUACUAUGGUUCAUGUCGAUCGCUCUAGGAUAUGAUGGUGGGUGUACAUACAUAUAUUUCAGUUACAAAUAAACAUAUGAUGAACUAGACAUAGAAGGUGAGCAUUUGUGUGUGGAGUGAUGCUGCAGGAAGAGCAUACGCGUAAUAU